This 232-nucleotide ribosomal RNA is filed under the name uncultured bacterium. RNAcentral's name for it is "partial 16S ribosomal RNA". It matches the Rfam family "Bacterial small subunit ribosomal RNA", at positions 524 to 756 of the family's 1533-position model. The record is from RNAcentral.
UACGUAGGGGGCGAGCGUUGUCCGGAUUCAUUGGGCGUAAAGCGCUUAAGGCGGUUCGCUAAGUCUGCUGUGAAAUCCCCGGGCUCAACCUGGGAAUGGCAGUGGAUACUGGCAAGCUAGAGUACGGUAGAGGGGGAUGGAAUUCCGCGUGUAGCAGUGAAAUGCGUAGAUAUGCGGAGGAACACCGAUGGCGAAGGCAAUCCCCUGGACCUGUACUGACGCUCAUGCACGA